Molecule: ribosomal RNA, 789 nt
Filed under: Triticum aestivum (bread wheat)
Lineage: Eukaryota; Viridiplantae; Streptophyta; Magnoliopsida; Poales; Poaceae
Description: partial small subunit ribosomal RNA
Source: RNAcentral
AUGCUGAACGCGAGGGUGAACGAGGAGCUGGUGGCGGCGGCGGGGGUGGAGGAGGGGGACGUCGUGCUGGAGAUAGGCCCCGGGACGGGCUCGCUCACCGCCGCGCUGCUCGCGGCCGGCGCCACCGUCGUCGCCGUCGAGAAGGAUAAGCAUAUGGCUACCCUUGUGAGAGAUAGGUUUGGAUCCACAGAGCAAUUGAAGGUCAUUGAAGAAGAUAUUACAAAAUUUCACGUUCACUCCCAUUUUCUCCCUAUCCUGGAGGAGAAAUCCCGUGGCACGAAAAAAUAUGCCAAGGUUGUGUCAAACUUACCAUUCAAUGUCAGCACUGAAGUUGUCAAACAAAUUCUCCCAAUGGGAGAUGUUUUCUCUGUCAUGGUGCUCAUGCUUCAGGAUGAAGCAGCACUACGCCUUGCAAAUGCUUCAAUACAAACACCAGAGUACCGACCUAUCAAUGUGUUUGUUAAUUUCUACUCUGAACCUGAAUACAAGUUCAAAGUAGAGAGGGCCAACUUUUUCCCUCAACCAACGGUUGAUGGUGGUGUUAUAAGGUUUAAAAUAAAGGAUGCUGGGGAGUACCCGCCUGUUAGUUCUAACAAAAGUUUCUUUUCAAUGGUGAACUCCGCGUUCAAUGGGAAGCGCAAGAUGCUUCGGAAAUCACUUCAACACCUAUAUUCUUCUGCUGACAUCGAGGCCGCUCUGACCAAUAUCGGUCUUCCGCCUACGGCUAGACCGUCAGAACUGAUGAUGGAUGAUUUCGUGAGGUUGCACAAUUACCUGGGAAACGUAUGA